This 253-nucleotide ribosomal RNA is filed under the name uncultured bacterium. RNAcentral's name for it is "partial 16S ribosomal RNA". It matches the Rfam family "Bacterial small subunit ribosomal RNA", at positions 524 to 776 of the family's 1533-position model. The record is from RNAcentral.
UACGGGGGGGGCAAGCGUUGUUCGGAUUUACUGGGCGUAAAGGGCGCGUAGGCGGCGCAACAAGUCACUUGUGAAAUCUCCGGGCUUAACCCGGAGCGGCCAAGUGAUACUGUCGUGCUAGAGUGCGGAAGGGGCUACUGGAAUUCUCGGUGUAGCGGUGAAAUGCGUAGAUAUCGAGAGGAACACCUGCGGCGAAGGCGGGUAGCUGGGCCGACACUGACGCUGAGGCGCGAAAGCCAGGGGAGCGAACAGG